This 95-nucleotide transfer RNA is filed under the name Candidatus Zophobacter franzmannii. RNAcentral's name for it is "tRNA-Sec". It matches the Rfam family "Selenocysteine transfer RNA". Lineage: Bacteria; Pseudomonadati; Candidatus Cloacimonadota; Cloacimonadia (SeqCode); Cloacimonadales (SeqCode). The record is from RNAcentral.
AGAGAGGAUGAAUCUGGUGGUUCACCCGGUCUUCAAAACCGGUAUCCGGCGCUUAACCCCGUCGAUGGCAGGUUCGAUCCCUGCCCUCUCUGCCA